GCUAGAAGAGAAACCACAGCUAAGACAAAUAGCUGCAAGAAUCAAACAUUACUUGGUUUGGGUUGCACAUCCUCGGACACAGCAAACAACCUGGCCUGAAUCUUAUUGGCGAAUCCAAACUUGAAUACAUUUAUUGACUCAUUUGUUGUAUGAGCUCCACAAAAUACACAGAGGACCAGAGGAAUAUGAACAUAUCUGCCAUCAAUCGUAGCUGUAGGCAUAUUUUUGAAGACGAAGGGCUGUAAAAGACUCCCAGAAAUGUG
Molecule: long non-coding RNA, 263 nt
Organism: Anolis sagrei ordinatus
Lineage: Eukaryota; Metazoa; Chordata; Lepidosauria; Squamata; Anolidae
Source: RefSeq, a predicted model, not a curated record